Gambusia affinis (western mosquitofish) is the source of this 1030-nucleotide long non-coding RNA. RefSeq lists it as uncharacterized. The transcript has 3 exons. Lineage: Eukaryota; Metazoa; Chordata; Actinopteri; Cyprinodontiformes; Poeciliidae. The record is from RefSeq and is a predicted model, not a curated record.
UUUGACGAGUAAAUGAAUUAACAAAUAGCUUAUUCACUGACGCUUUUCAUUUUGCAUUCAGUAAGCUCUGAAUGCACCGAGGAUGUAUUCCAGUGGUCUUACACUCCAUCCCUCGAGGGCCGGAGUCCCGCAACUUUUAGAUGCGUCCCUUGUCCUACACACUUUAAUUAAAUGGUAAAACUGACUCACUCUACAGAGCUCUGCUGCUCAGCUUAUAUUGGAGCCAGGUGUGCUGAAGCAGAGACACAGAUUAAAUUUACAAUAUGAGAACACCGCCUUAAACACUGAAUGAAGUCCUCAUCUUCAUUUCAACCCCUUAAAUCCAAAUAAUUUCAGUUUCAAUUAUUUCUAUCCAGCUUAGAUGAACAAGUUCCGAACAGAAGUAUUCAAAACCCAUAAACUGCAACAUAUUUAUGUGAUCGAUCAACAAAACGUUGUGCAUUAUGUGAAACGGGGGAAGAAUGACACACUGUUUUAAAGUUAUUCAAUAUAUACAAGUCAAACUGUGCAGUUGUUAUUAUUCUGAGUUCCUAAUGUGUAAGAUAGCGAGACUGCAACACUGCAAGUCUUUAAGGGUCAACACUAGCUUUGCACAUCUGUAGACUGAAAGUUUUGCUUUUUCUCUUAGGGUCACUGUUAUGCUGAAAGGUCAAACCUCACCAUAGGCGAGGUUCAAGCGAUGAUGCACCUACCACCAUGCAUCAUCAUGAAGUCUAUGCUAAUUCACACGUAAGCAGGUCAGAGAGUCAUGGUGAGCAGGAACACAACACAUCGACGCCGCUUUAAAAACAAACAGUGCCGAGCAGCAAGGUUAGCUGGCUAAUUGGGGUAAUACCCCCGGAGGACCGAGCAUCUAGCCUUGACGCUAGGUUGUCCUCCAACAUCUCGGAGGGGCUGCUAGAAGUGAAGGCUAACCACGGGAAGGACGAGGCUGACCACGUUCUGGAGGAGGCCUGAGAGGGAGGAAACAACCAGCGGUGGAGAGCUACGGAGCUCCAGGACCAGAGCAACCGCCCGUUCGCACCCAAAC